RNAcentral lists this ribosomal RNA (420 nucleotides) under uncultured bacterium. RNAcentral describes it as "bacterial SSU rRNA". It matches the Rfam family "Bacterial small subunit ribosomal RNA", at positions 356 to 773 of the family's 1533-position model. The record is from RNAcentral.
AAGGAAUAUUGGUCAAUGGACGGAAGUCUGAACCAGCCAUGCCGCGUGCAGGAUGAAGGCCUUAUGGGUUGUAAACUGCUUUUGUACAGGAAGAAACCUCUUUACGUGUAGAGAGCUGACGGUACUGUAAGAAUAAGCACCGGCUAACUCCGUGCCAGCAGCCGCGGUAAUACGGAGGGUGCGAGCGUUAUCCGGAUUUAUUGGGUUUAAAGGGUGCGUAGGCGGGAUAAUAAGUCAGUGGUGAAAUCCUACAGCUCAACUGUAGAACUGCCAUUGAUACUGUUAUUCUCGAGUAUACUGGAAGUGGGCGGAAUGUGUUGUGUAGCGGUGAAAUGCUUAGAUAUAACACAGAACACCGAUUGCGAAGGCAGCUCACUAUCGUAUAACUGACGCUGAGGCACGAAAGCGUGGGGAUCAAAC